UUAGGGAUUUUUUGCAAUGCGCGCAAGCGUGACAGAGCGAGCCAGAGUGUUUUUCCUUUUGGAAAAACUUUUGCCAGCUGUAAAAAGGCUGGCGAAUAAGGACUGGGCAAGACCGGUGCCAGCCGCCGCGGUAAUCCCGGCGGUCCAAGUCGCAGCCAACUUUAUUGGGUCUAAAACAUCCGUAGCUUGCUAUGAAAGUCUUUUGUGAAACUCUGUCUCUUAAGGGCAGAAAUGGCAAUAGAUACUUCAUGGCUAGAGACCGGUGGACGUAAGGAGUACAUUUAAGGUAGUGGUAAAAUACGUUAAUCUUAAAUGGACUAACAACAGCGAAGGCACCUUACGAUGACGGUUCUGACAGUGAGGGAUGAAGGCUAGGGGCGCAAAAUGG
RNAcentral lists this ribosomal RNA (388 nucleotides) under uncultured euryarchaeote. RNAcentral describes it as "bacterial SSU rRNA". It matches the Rfam family "Archaeal small subunit ribosomal RNA", at positions 339 to 727 of the family's 1478-position model. The record is from RNAcentral. Lineage: Archaea; Methanobacteriati; Methanobacteriota.